Molecule: ribosomal RNA, 253 nt
Filed under: uncultured bacterium
Lineage: Bacteria
Description: partial 16S ribosomal RNA
Rfam family: Bacterial small subunit ribosomal RNA
Source: RNAcentral
AACGUAGGUGGCAAGCGUUGUCCGGAAUUACUGGGUGUAAAGGGAGCGCAGGCGGGUGUGCAAGUUGAAUGUGAAAACUAUGGGCUCAACCCAUAGACUGCGUUCAAAACUGCGCAUCUUGAGUGAUGUAGAGGUAGGCGGAAUUCCCGGUGUAGCGGUGGAAUGCGUAGAUAUCGGGAGGAACACCAGUGGCGAAGGCGGCCUACUGGGCAUCAACUGACGCUGAGGCUCGAAAGUAUGGGGAGCAAACAGG